UCUUUAGUAGCUCAAUGGUAGUGCGGUCGGCUGUUAACUAACUAAUUGUAGGUUCGAAUCCUACUCAGAGAG
This 72-nucleotide transfer RNA is filed under the name Morus notabilis. It matches the Rfam family "tRNA". From Rfam's summary of the family: Transfer RNA (tRNA) molecules are approximately 80 nucleotides in length. Lineage: Eukaryota; Viridiplantae; Streptophyta; Magnoliopsida; Rosales; Moraceae. The record is from Rfam by way of RNAcentral.